RNAcentral lists this ribosomal RNA (253 nucleotides) under uncultured bacterium. Its description in RNAcentral is "partial 16S ribosomal RNA". It matches the Rfam family "Bacterial small subunit ribosomal RNA", at positions 524 to 776 of the family's 1533-position model. The record is from RNAcentral.
UACGUAGGUGGCAAGCGUUGUCCGGAUUUAUUGGGUUUAAAGGGUGCGUAGGCGGCCCUGUAAGUCAGCGCUGAAAUAUCCCGGCUUAACCGGGAGGGUGGCAUUGAUACUAUAUAUCUUGAAUGCUGUGGAGGUAAGCGGAAUAUGUCAUGUAGCGGUGAAAUGCUUAGAUAUGACAUAGAACACCUAUUGCGAAGGCAGCUUACUACGCAGAUAUUGACGCUCAUGCACGAAAGCGUGGGGAUCAAACAGG